GGAGUCAAUGCAGUGUGGAUAAGAUCGGGGUGAUGUGGCGUAUCUUCUGGUUCUAGUGAGGACUCUAGCAGCUGCAUUCUGGACUAACUGGAGUUUGUUUAUGCUCCUACUGGAACAUCCAGACAGUAAGGCAUUACAGUAAUCUAGUCUAGAGGUGACGAAAGCAUGAACUAAUAUUUCUGCAUCAUGUAGUGACAAUAUGUUUCUUAUCUUAGAAAUAUUUCUGAGAUGAAAGAAGACUAUCCUAGUAAUAUUAUCUACAUGAGCAUCAGAUGAUAGACUGGAGUCAAUAAUCACUCCAAGGUCUUUAACUGCUGCACAUGAUGAAACAGAAAGAACAUCCAGAGUAACCAUGUGAUCAGAAAGAUUUCUUCUAGCUACACGUGCGCCUAGUGCGAGUUCUUCUGUCUGAUCAGAAUUAAGGAAAAGGAAGUUAAUAAUCAUCCAACGUCUAAUGUCCUUUACACAAUCCUCAACUUUAUUAAGCUGCUGUCUGUCCUCUGGCUUCGCUGAAACAUGCAGCUGUGCAUCCAGACGGUCCGUGGCCAGUUUGUGAUAAAAGAGUUUUAAUAUCUUGAUAAACGCAAAUGAAAUAAAUCCAGAGUGAAUUUCCACACACACCACACAAUUCCUUCUGUUAGACGAGGUCUGAUAUUCCAUUUAGACGUUUAUUUACUUGGCUUGUCGGAGCCAGAGGUUUUUAUUUGAACUUGGUGCUCUUCAGUCUGCAGUAAAUCAGGUCUGAUCUGUGGUUUAGAUCAGAUAUGAACACAAUGUGCAAUUUAAUCUUAAAGUUCGGUCACAUGUUGGGUCUUUUAGAUGUUUUGUGUCGCUGUUCCAGAUAAAAGAUGGAAAGAUCUUGUGGAAGUUAUUUUACUGCAUGAGUACAACAAAAACAUAUGAGAAAUGAUGACGGGCAAGACGGAGCUGGUGAUUUCAUUUAAUCCCAGAUUAGAGCAGACUAAGAGCAAACCUGACAGAUCGUCUGACAGAGCUCAUCUUCACAGACAGUUUGUGAACACUGGAUUUGUUUUCCUCAAAUCUGAAACCACAGACGCAGACGCAGACACAGACGCAGACGCAGACUCGCAAAUGGCAUUGUGUAUUUCAGAGUUAUUUUCUCUGAUAUGCUUCAGAUUCCUCACAACAAACAAUAUUUCUGUCAUUCCUGUGGUCUGAGAUCUGCCAUGGAGAGAGAGAAAGAGAGAGGGGGGGGGGGAGAAAGAUGGGGGAAGAUAGGAGGGGAGAGAGGAAAGAGAGAAAGGGAGAGAGAGAGAGAGAGAGAGGAAAAGAGAGAGAGAGAGAGAGAGAGAGAGAGAAACAGAGAGAGAGAGAGGGAGGGAAGAGCAAGAGAGAGAGCUCUUGCAAAAGAGCUUGAAAAUGCAAGUGGAAAUAUUUCUUCCUGGGUUAUUUUUCAUCCCAUUUUUGCUCCUCAGUUAAAAGCAUGUUUGAAUCCUGGCCAGAAACAUGUGAAAGAGUGAGUUAUUAUAGAGUUAUUAUAGAGUUAUUAUAGAGAGUUAUUAUAGAGUUAUUAUAGAGUUAUUAUACAUUAUUAUAGAGUUAUUAUAGAG
Long non-coding RNA from Ictalurus punctatus (channel catfish), 1571 nucleotides. The record is from Ensembl. Lineage: Eukaryota; Metazoa; Chordata; Actinopteri; Siluriformes; Ictaluridae.